RNAcentral lists this ribosomal RNA (463 nucleotides) under uncultured bacterium. Its description in RNAcentral is "bacterial SSU rRNA". It matches the Rfam family "Bacterial small subunit ribosomal RNA", at positions 28 to 507 of the family's 1533-position model. The record is from RNAcentral.
GACGAACGCUGGCGGCGUGCCUAACCCAUGCAAGUCGAACGAGCAGAGACCUUCGGGUCGAAGCGAGUGGCGGACGGGUGAGUAACGCGUGAACAACCAACCCUGCACAGGGGGACAACAGCUGGAAACGGCUGCUAAUACCGCAUAAGACCACAGAGCCGCAUGGCUUAGGGGUCAAAGGAGAAAUCCGGUGCAGGACGGGUUCGCGUCUGAUUAGCUAGUUGGUGAGGUAACGGCCUACCAAGUCGACGAUCAGUAGCCGGACUGAGAGGUUGAACGGCCACAUUGGGACUGAGACACGGCCCAGACUCCUACGGGAGGCAGCAGUGGGGAAUAUUGCACAAUGGGCGAAAGCCUGAUGCAGCAACGCCGCGUGAGGGAAGACGGUCUUCGGAUUGUAAACCUCUGUCCUUGGUGAAGACAAAUGACGGUAGCCUUGGAGGAAGCCACGGCUAACUACGUG